Molecule: ribosomal RNA, 762 nt
Filed under: uncultured bacterium
Lineage: Bacteria
Description: bacterial SSU rRNA
Rfam family: Bacterial small subunit ribosomal RNA
Source: RNAcentral
UGCAAUCGAACGGUGAUAGCAAUAUCAUAGUGGCGCACGGGUGCGUAACACGUAUGCGACCUACCUUAUACUGAGGGAUAGCCUUUCGAAAGGGAGAUUAAUACCUCAUAACACAUUGAACUGGCAUCAGUUUAUUGUUAAAGAUUUAUUGGUAUAAGAUGGGCAUGCGUCCAAUUAGUUAGUUGGCGAGGUAACGGCUCACCAAGACGAUGAUUGGUAGGGGAACUGAGAGGUUAAUCCCCCACACUGGCACUGAGAUACGGGCCAGACUCCUACGGGAGGCAGCAGUAGGGAAUAUUGGGCAAUGGAGGCAACUCUGACCCAGCCAUGCCGCGUGCAGGAAGAAGGCGUUAUGCGUUGUAAACUGCUUUUAUAUAGGAAGAAAUAGACCUUGCGAGGUAAGUUGACGGUACUAUAUGAAUAAGCACCGGCUAACUCCGUGCCAGCAGCCGCGGUAAUACGGAGGGUGCAAGCGUUGUCCGGAUUUAUUGGGUUUAAAGGGUGCGUAGGCGGUUUAUUAAGUCAGUGGUGAGAGACGGUCGCUCAACGAUUGCAGUGCCAUUGAUACUGGUAGACUUGAGUGGGAUUGAGGUAGCUGGAAUGGAUAGUGUAGCGGUGAAAUGCAUAGAUAUUAUCCAGAACACCAAUUGCGUAGGCAAGUUACUAAGUCUCAACUGACGCUGAGGCACGAAAGUGUGGGUAUCAAACAGGAUUAGAUACCCUGGUAGUCCACACUGUAAACGAUGAUAACUAACUGUUGGC